This is a long non-coding RNA of Tupaia belangeri chinensis (Chinese tree shrew), 308 nucleotides long. RefSeq lists it as uncharacterized. NCBI's taxonomy places the organism in Eukaryota, Metazoa, Chordata, Mammalia, Scandentia, Tupaiidae. The record is from RefSeq and is a predicted model, not a curated record. The transcript has 3 exons.
UAACAUAUGCCAUUUCUCGUCUAGGUUUUGGCUUGGUUUGAAGAAGGUGAAGAAACAAUUACAGCCUUUGUAGAACCUUUUGUAAUUUUACUUAUAUUAGUAGCCAAUGCAAUUGUGGGUGUAUGGCAGGAAAGAAAUGCUGAAAAUGCGAUUGAAGCCCUGAAGGAGUACGAGCCUGAAAUGGGCAAAGUGUAUCGCCAGGACAGGAAAAGCGUACAGCGGAUUAAAGCUAAAGACAUAGUUCCUGGGGAUAUUGUAGAAAUUGCUGUUGGUGACAAGGGUCCUGCUGAUAUAAGAUUAACUUGUUG